GGUGCCAAGCUAAUAGAAGAGAGAGAAGGGAAAAUCCAAGAGAGCAACAGUUCACUGGAGCGGGGGCUCCUCCGUAUUUAGAAGCAAAUUUGAUUGAUUAACGCGAUCUGGUGAAACCCAUUUGAUCCAUUUGUUUAGGGAAGCGAAAGAACAUGGUGGGAUGAGGCAGUGGGCGAAGUAGGUUGGAGAUGGCUAGAGAAGGCAGAGGACCGGAAUGGGGUGGUUCGGGUUCGGGUCUGUCUCCGUGUAGAAGAAUCACUCUGAUUGUUUGCUCCCUUAACAUUUUUAUUACUCUCUAUUGUCUCCAUUCUCUCUACAUUUAUCCCAACAAAGAUCAUGGUGUUGUAAAGCAUACACCAGAUCAUAUAAAAAAUGGAACAAUCACUUAGAAUUCGAAGAGCCAAUGAACCUAUAGAUCAUGUUAAAUUGGUAAAGCGAUUAAAGCUUGAAUUUUGGGGUGAAGAAGAGUCAACGGGUGUAGCUGAACUGCCACAAGCAGUUAAGAAUAAGAUAACUGAUGAGAUACUGCAAAGAUUGAGAAGUUUGAGACGAAAUGCUACUGCCAGCUAGCAGCGAGGUUGGUGUCUGCCUAAGCUUUUCAUUUUUUGACUGAUUCGGGUGAUUUAGCUUACAGUUUCAAGUGAACACGAUGUUGUGUUUCUGUUUAUUCUUAUUUGGUAACUAGUGUUCUAUUGUGGUGUAGUUAUACAUGGAUUGAGCAUUUCUGAUGUUUUAGGAUAAGACUAUUUUCCGUAAAGUUGAAGAUUGUAAUCUUUGUAUAAGCCAACGA
Molecule: long non-coding RNA, 790 nt
Organism: Hibiscus syriacus
Lineage: Eukaryota; Viridiplantae; Streptophyta; Magnoliopsida; Malvales; Malvaceae
Exons: 3
Source: RefSeq, a predicted model, not a curated record